UGGCCUCGUAACACUGAGAAGGCCGACGUGAACUGUGCUUGUGUUUCACACGCCGGUCUCAACCUGGUGACUGGAGACGACUUCGGCCUCAUCAAGCUCUUUGAAUUCCCGUGUUCAGAGAAAUUCGCCAAACACAAACGAUACUUCGGCCACUCAGCCCACGUGACAAACAUCCGCUUCUCCUGUGAUGAUAAAUACGUCAUCAGUGCUGGAGGCAGCGACUGCAGUUUGUUUGUGUGGAAAUGUCAGUGAGAUCUUCC
Non-coding RNA from Labrus bergylta (ballan wrasse), 260 nucleotides. Lineage: Eukaryota; Metazoa; Chordata; Actinopteri; Labriformes; Labridae. The record is from RefSeq and is a predicted model, not a curated record.